GGCGAACGGGUGAGUAACACGUGAGUAACCUGCCCUUGACUCUGGGAUAAGCCUGGGAAACUGGGUCUAAUACCGGAUACGACCAUCUGACGCAUGUCAUGGUGGUGGAAAGCUUUUGUGGUUUUGGAUGGACUCGCGGCCUAUCAGCUUGUUGGUGGGGUAAUGGCCUACCAAGGCGACGACGGGUAGCCGGCCUGAGAGGGUGACCGGCCACACUGGGACUGAGACACGGCCCAGACUCCUACGGGAGGCAGCAGUGGGGAAUAUUGCACAAUGGGCGCAAGCCUGAUGCAGCGACGCCGCGUGAGGGAUGACGGCCUUCGGGUUGUAAACCUCUUUCAGUAGGGAAGAAGCGAAAGUGACGGUACCUGCAGAAGAAGCGCCGGCUAACUACGUGCCAGCAGCCGCGGUAAUACGUAGGGGCAAGCGUUAUCCGGAAUUAUUGGGCGUAAAGAGCUCGUAGGCGGUUUGUCGCGUCUGCUGUGAAAGACCGGGGCUCAACUCCGGUUCUGCAGUGGGUACGGGCAGACUAGAGUGCAGUAGGGGAGACUGGAAUUCCUGGUGUAGCGGUGAAAUGCGCAGAUAUCAGGAGGAACACCGAUGGCGAAGGCAGGUCUCUGGGCUGUAACUGACGCUGAGGAGCGAAAGCAUGGGGAGCGAACAGGAUUAGAUACCCUGGUAGUCCAUGCCGUAAACGUUGGGCACUAGGUGUGGGGGACAUUCCACGUUUUCCGCGCCGUAGCUAACGCAUUAAGUGCCCCGCCUGGGAGUACGGCCGCAAGGCUAAAACUCAAAGGAAUUGACGGGGGCCCGCACAAGCGGCGGAGCAUGCGGAUUAAUUCGAUGCAACGCGAAGAACCUUACCAAGGCUUGACAUGAACCGGAAAGACCUGGAAACAGGUGCCCCGCUUGCGGUCGGUUUACAGGUGGUGCAUGGUUGUCGUCAGCUCGUGUCGUGAGAUGUUGGGUUAAGUCCCGCAACGAGCGCAACCCUCGUUCUAUGUUGCCAGCGCGUUAUGGCGGGGACUCAUAGGAGACUGCCGGGGUCAACUCGGAGGAAGGUGGGGACGACGUCAAAUCAUCAUGCCCCUUAUGUCUUGGGCUUCACGCAUGCUACAAUGGCCGGUACAAAGGGUUGCGAUACUGUGAGGUGGAGCUAAUCCCAAAAAGCCGGUCUCAGUUCGGAUUGGGGUCUGCAACUCGACCCCAUGAAGUCGGAGUCGCUAGUAAUCGCAGAUCAGCAACGCUGCGGUGAAUACGUUCCCGGGCCUUGUACACAC
Molecule: ribosomal RNA, 1280 nt
Filed under: Paenarthrobacter nitroguajacolicus
Lineage: Bacteria; Bacillati; Actinomycetota; Actinomycetes; Micrococcales; Micrococcaceae
Description: bacterial SSU rRNA
Rfam family: Bacterial small subunit ribosomal RNA
Source: RNAcentral